This 2616-nucleotide small RNA is filed under the name Pongo abelii (Sumatran orangutan). Its description in RNAcentral is "retained intron". The record is from RNAcentral. Lineage: Eukaryota; Metazoa; Chordata; Mammalia; Primates; Hominidae.
GAGCUCAGAACAGCUGUCUGUGAGGGAGUCAGAGGGAGAGAGAGAAAGGGAGCCGGGGAGAGAGAGAGGGGGACUUCUGUAAGGCGGCACGACCACUCCAAAUAACAGCCGCAGAGGGAGGUGGGGGAGAGGGAAAUAAAGGGGAGUCAUGCUUAAAAUGCCACAGCGGUGUGAAACAGCAGAGCAAAGAAGCGCCCUCAGCUUCUGAGAGCCCUGGCCCGAGUCCCCUCCCCCGUUAGAAACAGGGCUUUGGGAUAGUCAUGGAGCACUGCCAGUAACUCCAACCGCAGCACGCCGGCCUGCUCGCCUAUCCUCCGGAAGCGGUCUCGCUCGCCAACCCCGCAGAACCAGGACGGAGACACCAUGGUGGAGAAGGGCUCAGAUCACUCCUCGGACAAGUCCCCGUCCACACCGGAGCAGGGCGUGCAGCGCAGCUGCUCCUCCCAGUCCGGCCGGAGCGGCGGCAAGAAUUCCAAGAAAAGCCAGAGUUGGUAUAAUGUGUUAAGCCCCACCUACAAGCAGAGAAAUGAAGACUUCAGAAAGCUCUUUAAGCAGCUUCCAGACACGGAGCGCCUCAUUGUUGAUUACUCAUGUGCACUCCAAAGAGACAUUCUCCUUCAGGGCCGACUCUACCUCUCUGAAAAUUGGAUCUGCUUCUACAGCAACAUCUUCCGCUGGGAAACUCUGCUGACAGUCCGUUUGAAAGACAUCUGUUCCAUGACUAAAGAAAAAACAGCUCGCCUCAUUCCCAAUGCCAUCCAAGUUUGCACUGAUUCAGAAAAGCACUUCUUCACUUCGUUUGGGGCCCGGGAUAGGACGUAUAUGAUGAUGUUCCGGCUCUGGCAGAACGCUCUCCUUGAAAAGCCUCUGUGUCCCAAAGAGCUCUGGCACUUUGUUCACCAGUGCUAUGGGAACGAAUUGGGCCUGACCAGUGAUGACGAGGACUACGUGCCCCCUGACGACGACUUCAACACAAUGGGAUACUGCGAAGAGAUCCCUGUGGAAGAGAAUGAAGUGAAUGACAGCUCAUCCAAGAGCAGCAUAGAGACCAAGCCAGAUGCCAGUCCACAACUGCCCAAGAAAUCCAUCACCAACAGCACACUGACAUCCACAGGGAGCAGUGAGGCCCCCGUCUCGUUUGAUGGGCUGCCCCUGGAGGAGGAGGCGCUGGAGGGAGAUGGGUCCCUGGAGAAGGAGCUCGCCAUUGACAACAUCAUGGGGGAGAAGAUUGAGAUGAUCGCUCCUGUGAACUCCCCUUCACUGGACUUCAAUGACAAUGAGGACAUCCCCACUGAACUCAGUGACUCUUCCGACACACACGAUGAAGGGGAGGUCCAGGCCUUCUAUGAGGACCUGAGUGGCCGGCAGUACGUGAAUGAAGUCUUCAACUUCAGCGUGGACAAGCUCUAUGACCUCCUCUUCACCAACUCGCCCUUCCAGCGGGAUUUCAUGGAGCAGCGGCGCUUCUCUGAUAUCAUCUUCCAUCCAUGGAAAAAGGAGGAGAAUGGAAACCAGAGCCGAGUGAUUCUUUACACCAUCACCCUUACCAACCCUCUGGCUCCCAAAACUGCCACUGUCAGGGAGACACAGACCAUGUACAAGGCGAGCCAGGAGAGUGAAUGUUAUGUGAUAGAUGCCGAAGUCCUCACCCACGACGUGCCCUACCAUGACUACUUCUACACAAUCAAUCGCUACACGCUCACCCGCGUGGCUCGGAACAAGAGCCGACUCAGGGUCUCCACAGAGCUACGCUAUCGAAAACAGCCCUGGGGAUUAGUGAAAACGUUCAUCGAGAAGAACUUCUGGAGUGGGCUGGAGGACUACUUCCGCCAUUUAGAGAGCGAGCUGGCCAAAACGGAGAGCACUUAUUUGGCUGAGAUGCACAGACAAUCUCCCAAAGAGAAGGCCAGCAAGACUACAACGGUGCGGAGGAGGAAGCGUCCCCAUGCCCACCUGCGAGUCCCUCACCUGGAAGAGGUGAUGAGCCCGGUCACCACGCCCACAGAUGAGGAUGUGGGCCACAGGAUCAAACAUGUGGCAGGUUCCACGCAGACGCGGCAUAUCCCCGAGGACACCCCCAACGGUUUCCACCUGCAGAGCGUGUCCAAGCUGCUGCUGGUUAUCAGCUGUGUUCUGGUGCUGCUGGUCAUCCUUAACAUGAUGCUCUUCUACAAACUCUGGAUGUUGGAAUACACCACGCAGACCCUCACUGCCUGGCAGGGUCUAAGGCUCCAAGAAAGGUUACCCCAGUCUCAGACAGAAUGGGCCCAGCUCUUAGAGUCCCAACAAAAGUACCACGAUACUGAGCUCCAAAAAUGGAGGGAGAUCAUCAAAUCCUCAGUGAUGCUCCUUGACCAGGUGAGAUGCCCCACCUUCUCUGCUUGCCCUGGUCUUUGGGAGCGGGGACUCCUUCCCUUAUGCUGUGAGAAAGAUCCUUGUCUCUAUCACCACCCUCCAGACUUCUCCCUCCAAUUCAUUCUUCCUCCAGGCCAUGCAUUGUUCUAAAAUGGAAAGCCUUCCUUGAGUGGGCUGCUAGAAAUGCAGGUGUAUUCUAAAAAAUAAGAACAAUAAAAUGACCUACUGAAUUUGCACCAGGAAAGCUGUAGUUUAGGUGGA